This is a long non-coding RNA of Lolium perenne, 3250 nucleotides long. RefSeq lists it as uncharacterized. The record is from RefSeq and is a predicted model, not a curated record. NCBI's taxonomy places the organism in Eukaryota, Viridiplantae, Streptophyta, Magnoliopsida, Poales, Poaceae.
CCCUUCCCUCACUCUUUCCCUCUCCCUCUCCUCUUCAAAACCCCCGGUCCUAGCUCCCACUCUUCAUCUCUUCAUUAGUAGCCAGUUCUUAUGUUCUCUCCUUCGCCUAUAUCUUGCCAUCUUCUUCUUCUAGCUUUCUUGCCUUGCCUCCCUUCAUCCAUCCACGGUGAAGUAGCUACAUCUUUUUGCCGAGUCUCUUUGGACUGCAAGCUAUAGUAGUUUGGAGUUUGGACUGCAUGUCCAGCCGGUUGAAGUUAGGUUAAGGGGGUUGUUGUCUGGUUCAAGGUCUCCACAUACAUCAUACACAUGGAUGCAUAAUAUGCUUCCAUCUUGUGUACAUAUGGAGUGUAUGAUUUGGUGAUCUCGGACCAGGCUUCAAUCCCUUCAACCAACAUCUGCACACAGUACGCGCACCUCAUGCAUGCAUAUGACAAUUCCAGCGGGCAAGGUUUGAUUUCUGGAGUAAGUAUAUGCCAUCUACUAGAGAGUGAAUAUAUGAGCUAUUCAGCUCCUCCUCCUCCUAUUCAUCUGACCACAACAUGUGCAGAUUUAUUUUUGCAUAAAGUUUCUAUUGAUUAACAGACUGCAUCUUGCUUAUGGAAAAGCAUGUAUUUGUAGAUGCAAUAGAUUUUCAUUUCUGUAAGUAUGUCGUCAAGAAUGAUGCAAUGACCAGGCAUGCAGUAUACUAGGCUAGCCGCAUAUGUUCAUGUGAGAAACGAUGUAGAAGAGCUAGCAGCAAAGACGAUGAACUCUGUGGACGUGUGGUGUGAAGUCUACAUCUCACCGGUUCUGAACCAAUCGACUUUUGUACUACCAGUUCCAUCUUCCAUGCACCUAGCCAUGUAUGUUCACACCAGUAAUACAUUGGCACAUUUUUUUCGAUAAAGAAUACAAUUGCAUAUGACUCCAUCCCUCUUGCAUUUGUGCAUUGGCAUCAAAUAAUCUUAACAAUGAAUGUUUAGAUCACUAGGACAAGAAAAUUCCACCCCUUGCUAUCCAGCAAGCACAUGCACGUUACAUGGCAGUAGUGAAAAUGCUCUUUCAUAAAAUUACUCCAUAAUAAUACAUGCAAAUUAUCUUACAAGAAGCUAUAGGCAUUCCACUGAUUAGGGACAGGAACUGACCAAGCAUUUAAGCAGGAAUGGCUCGGCACUCAUGUAUGACAAAGGAAUGGCUGGCCAGGCUCAUUACUUGGCUCACGUGGCUGUUGUGAAAGACAGAGAUGCCAUGCACCGUACUGCUACACAUGCUGCAUCUGAACGGCGUGCGAUCGAUCGAUCCCAAUCACUGCCUGUUCUCUCUGGGAGUUUUGUUCCAUCCAUCUGCAAAUCACAGAACUACGUAGUACAUGCUGGUGAUGGUGGUCUUCGAUCUGCAUUAACUUCCAUAUGUCUCAAAGCUACAAGUUUUGAACCGCUUCUCGUGACGCUUUAUGAAAGCAGAUUGGCCACCAGUGUUUUACCAUUUUAUUUUGCCUUUUACGAUUAUAGAUGGACAUAUACAAUCAUAUGAUACACUUACUAUUGAAUUCUGUAUACCAAAACAAUUGAACUUAUAAUUAAAAAUCGUUUUUUUCUUAGAAAUACCGAAUAUGAAAUGCACGCAUACAUACAUGCACACCACCACACAGACACCGGCCCUAUGCUUAGGACAAAGUGUUAGGCAUCAAAUUUGUCGAAGUGAUCGAAGGAGGAAAAAAAACCCUAAACCCUGCCGAAAGAAUAAUCCUCUUACUCUCAAUGAGACAUGUAUGGCAUCAAACCUAUAUAUGGUUGGUCCUUGGUGGAUCAGGAUAGAAGUAGAAUCACCCAACUAAUCACUGAACCGAGGCUUCGGCUUCUCUGGAUCCAACUUUCAGUGCAACUAGUUCAACACAUGUUCAUACAUAGUAUAAUUAAGAUGGAGUGAUUCGAUUUGCAUACGCUUCCUUUUAGCAUAUAUUGAUCUUGCAUAUGCUGUAGCUAGUUGAGUACUCCCUCCGAUUCAAAAUACUUGUCGUGAUUUUAGUUUAAAUCUAAAUUAAAAACAAAACAAGUAAUUUGGACUAGAGGGAGUACUGUCUUUGAUGGUGAGAUGCUAUAGCAGCACUAUAGCGUCCAUCAUUCAUGGAGAGGGACUUGAUUUUCAUACGUUUUUAGCAUAUACAAAUCUUGUAUAUAUUGUGUAGCAUAACUACUUGAGUACACGGUCUUUGAUGGUGAGAUACUGUAUACUCCACUCCACUUGCAGAGCUAGCGUUCAUCAUUCGUGUCGCUAAUGAAAAUUAAUUGAUGUAUACAGUAUAUAGCUUGGAACAAGCGAUGACAGUUCAUGCAUGACACCGACAAGCACAUGCGUUGACAUCGAUCGUUUGGAACUUGUCAAGGCAAAAAACUGGUACCUCCAAUCAAACAGAAUCAUCAGACUAACAUGCAAACAGAUAUGCGCCGGCUAUAUAUGUUUUGUCGUAAUUCAGAUAUUGCGCCUAGAACUUUGGCACGGUUGCCAGCAUGCAUGGGCAUGCAUGGAGGAGCUAGUUAAAUGAUGCUCUUGUUCAGAAAAAAAAGUUAAAAGAUGCUUUCCGAAAGUGAAGCUGCAGGGAGAAGACAAACACGUACAGUACAUGGCUCUCCUCCUCGUCCCGGCCCUGCUGCUGCUCGGACCUAUCUAGAUAGUGUGCACUGUGCAUUGUGCACACCCGCCCACUGUCCGACUGUCGUCGACACUACUCGUAUGCACGCAUGUGUGCCGCACCAUGACGACAACGAUGAUGAUGGCCAUCGUUCCCUGAAGAUGACCACAUUUGGCCAUGGCACGCAAAAGAGACGCAGCGCCGAUCAUGUGAACGGAUUGUUCAACAGUUCAAUGGCGGAGAACUGGCGAUCCAUGUGCUUGCAUUGCAUGCUAUCUGCGAGCUCCAUCCAUCGCCCGGGGUUGAGGAUUCAAAAAAUUCACGGCUGGUGCUGCCCCAAUUUCUCGGCGUCAAAGAGUCAGGUAUGCUGUGGAGGGCCAUGUGGUAACUGUAAAAAGAAACUUUGUCACUAAACCUGCUGCUUUCCCGUAGCAGCUAGGACCAACUGCUAGAGUGCUAGCUAAAACGACUACAUUGUCUGCAUUAAUAAAAUCGCAGAAAGUAGAAUGAACAGGGUAUUGAAAGGAAGCUGGGGAAAUAAUAUGAUGGGGUCAGCCUCUCUAGCAUGGUGUCAUCUUUAGUGAUAAAACAAUGAUUAGUGCAAAAUUAGUAAAAGAUUUUCAGAAUCCUUUGAUGUCA